Molecule: non-coding RNA, 71 nt
Organism: Danio rerio (zebrafish)
Lineage: Eukaryota; Metazoa; Chordata; Actinopteri; Cypriniformes; Danionidae
Source: Rfam
GCAUUGGUGGUUCAGUGGUAGAAUUCUCGCCUGCCAUGCGGGAGACCCGGGUCCGAUUCCCGGCCAAUGCA